AGCACCUCAAACAACAACGAGACCUCCUGCACAAGUCACCGGUAAGUUUUAUAUUAAUCUUUCAAUUUUCUUUAUUUGUUUCGUGGAAAAGACUACGUUUUGCAUCUCUGUGCACGAAUUACCCUCACAGUACGAGUAUUAGAGAGUUUUAAUUUACACAUGCAUGCAUUUUUUGCUGCAAUUUUAGCGCGAUUUUGCGAUCUUUACAAAUUAGCCCUCUUGUGCUCGAAUUUGUUUCCAUACUUCUUCUUUCAUUGGCCGUUGCCGAGUGAGAUUGACGUAUUACAUACGAGUUUCAAUUCAAAUACCUAUGAAACGUUUGUCGCAAGCUAUACUCCUGCAAUUGAAAAAAAGUAUUUUUGCCUGUUUCUAUACUUGCACAUAUGGCAUAGCAUCAUGCCUGGCCCAAAGAGUUGCCCGAAGAGCAGGCUGCAAUACUACAGUAUUAAAAAUGUUCCUUGAGCAUAUCCUGUGCAGAAUGAAAGCCCCCAAAACAACAACAACAACAACAACAACAACAACAACAACAACAACAACAACAACAACAACAACAACAACAACAACAACAACAACAACAACAACAAUAAUUAAAAAUAGCUGUCCCUAACGAUCCCCAAAUGCACGAUAUGAACUACUGUAUUUGAGUUAGGAUUGAACGUUGGGGCUAGAAUAGGAAUAAACGUAGAGUUAGCGAAAGGUCACAAGAGUAAGGAUGAUGCCAUGGUUAAUACUAGGAUUAAAUGUCAAAUGAGAUUGUUAAUUUAGAAUUGCUCUGUUAAUUUUGAGGUACAAGUACAACAUCAUCAAAUUUGUUCCAAAUUCAAAGUUCAGGCUAUAAUAAAUGCCUGACAGCAAGUUAUGUAAGACGACGUGGGGUUUACAGAAGAACAUUCAAUGGAAAAGGAUACGUGUACUCUUACCAUUAUGUAGUCGCAACUAGUGUAGCGCUAUCAUUGAGCGGCUGCUACCUCUCCAAACAGCAGAGCUGGCGCUGGACAUCAGAUGGACGUCUUCAGUCAGAUUUAAAUCAACAAUGUCUUGCCGUGACCCGUGUUAACAUAGACCACGGGUAUUCACAUAAAAUAUACGGAGCAUCACUGCAACCUUGCAAUUCUACUACGAGCGAUCAAGGUUGGGUCUGUAAUGGUGGUUUUUUAAAACUGAAGAACAAGAAUUUGUACCUUAUACCAUACAUAUACACUGGCCGCCCAGAUAUUGGUGGUAUUUUAAUAAAACCCAGUGUGACCAACAGCUGCCUGUGGGCACGCUAUGGUACUUCGAAAUCACUCUGUGGAAAUG
Paramuricea clavata is the source of this 1299-nucleotide non-coding RNA. The record is from the annotation of a GenBank genome assembly. NCBI's taxonomy places the organism in Eukaryota, Metazoa, Cnidaria, Anthozoa, Malacalcyonacea, Plexauridae.